CCUACGGGAGGCAGCAGUGAGGAAUAUUGGUCAAUGGGCGCGAGCCUGAACCAGCCAAGUAGCGUGAAGGAUGACUGCCCUACGGGUUGUAAACUUCUUUUAUAAAGGAAUAAAGUGAGGCACGCGUGCCUUUUUGUGUGUACCUUAUGAAUAAGCAUCGGCUAACUCCGUGCCAGCAGCCGCGGUAAUACGGAGGAUCCGAGCGUUAUCCGGAUUUAUUGGGUUUAAAGGGAGCGUAGACGGGUUGUUAAGUCAGUUGUGAAAGUUUGCGGCUCAACCCUAAAAUUGCAUUUGAUACUGGUAGUCUUGAGUACAGUUGAGGUAGGCGGAAUUCGUGGUGUAGCGGUGAAAUGCUUAGAUAUCACGCAGAACUCCGAUUGCGAAGGCAGCUUACUAACCCGCCACUGACAUUGAUGCUCGAAAGUGUGGGUAUCGAACAGGAUUAGAUACCCCAGUAGUC
This 460-nucleotide ribosomal RNA is filed under the name uncultured bacterium. RNAcentral describes it as "partial 16S ribosomal RNA". It matches the Rfam family "Bacterial small subunit ribosomal RNA", at positions 338 to 795 of the family's 1533-position model. The record is from RNAcentral.